AUGAACGCUGGCGGCGUGCCUAAUACAUGCAAGUCGAGCGAACAGACGAGGAGCUUGCUCCCCUGACGUUAGCGGCGGACGGGUGAGUAACACGUGGAUAACCUACCUAUAAGACUGGGAUAACUUCGGGAAACCGGGGCUAAUACCGGAUAAUAUAUUGAACCGCAUGGUUCAAUAGUGAAAGACGGUUUUGCUGUCACUUAUAGAUGGAUCCGCGCCGCAUUAGCUAGUUGGUAAGGUAACGGCUUACCAAGGCAACGAUGCGUAGCCGACCUGAGAGGGUGGUCGGCCACACUGGAACUGAGACACGGUCCAGACUCCUACGGGAGGCAGCAGUAGGGAAUCUUCCGCAAUGGGCGAAAGCUUGACGGAGCAACGCCGCGUGAGUGAUGAAGGUCUUCGGAUCGUAAAACUCUGUUAUUAGGGAAGAACAAAUGUGUAAGUAACUAUGCACGUCUUGACGGUACCUAAUCAGAAAGCCACGGCUAACUACGUG
This 496-nucleotide ribosomal RNA is filed under the name uncultured bacterium. RNAcentral describes it as "partial 16S ribosomal RNA". It matches the Rfam family "Bacterial small subunit ribosomal RNA", at positions 29 to 507 of the family's 1533-position model. The record is from RNAcentral.